UAUCAUGCAAGUCGAGCGGACAGAAGGGAGCUUGCUCCCGGAUGUUAGCGNCGGACGGGUGAGUAACACGUGGGUAACCUGCCUGUAAGACUGGGAUAACUCCGGGAAACCGGAGCUAAUACCGGAUAGUUCCUUGAACCGCAUGGUUCAAGGAUGAAAGACNGUUUCNGCUGUCACUUACAGAUGGACCCNCGGCGCAUUAGCUAGUUGGUGAGGUAACGGCUCACCAAGGCGACNAUGCGUANCCNACCUGAGAGGGUGAUCGGCCACACUGGGACUGANACACGGCCCANACUCCUACGGGAGGCAGCAGUAGGGAAUCUUCCNCAAUGGACGAAAGUCUGACGGANCAACNCCNCGUGAGUGAUGAAGGUUUUCGGAUCGUAAAGCUCUGUUGUUAGGGAAGAACAAGUGCAAGAGUAACUGCUUGCACCUUGACGGUACCUAACCAGAAAGCCACGGCUAACUACGUGCCAGCAGCCGCGGUAAUACGUAGGUGGCAAGCGUUGUCCGGAAUUAUUGGGCGUAAAGGGCUCGCAGGCGGUUUCUUAAGUCUGAUGUGAAAGCCCCCNGCUCAACCGGGGAGGGUCAUUGGAAACUGGGAAACUUGAGUGCAGAAGANGAGAGUGGAAUUCCACGUG
RNAcentral lists this ribosomal RNA (641 nucleotides) under bacterium Ri.J7. Its description in RNAcentral is "partial 16S ribosomal RNA". It matches the Rfam family "Bacterial small subunit ribosomal RNA", at positions 51 to 675 of the family's 1533-position model. The record is from RNAcentral.